This 1119-nucleotide long non-coding RNA is filed under the name Monodelphis domestica (gray short-tailed opossum). Its description in RNAcentral is "lncRNA (ENSMODG00000051443.1)". The record is from RNAcentral. Lineage: Eukaryota; Metazoa; Chordata; Mammalia; Didelphimorphia; Didelphidae.
AAUCCACAUGACCCAAGAGUAACGCCAUCUGUGCCUCUUGGGAGAUCAUCUUCACCCUCUGUAUCUUCUUUGUAAAAUGGGAGCCACCUACUUUCCAGGGUUGUGGUGAGAUAAUAUCUUGGUAAGCAAAUUGCAAACCUUCAAGUUAUAUUUAGGUAUAUAUAUAUAUAAUUUAUAACAUGAUAUAUGAUAUAUAAUAAAUAUAUACAAUAUGUGCCAACUAUUAUUAAUAUUCUAGAGGGGGAGACAACAAAGACAUAGAUCAAAAUGUAAUUGGUUGUUAUGUUUAUAGUCUUUCAAAUAUUGAUGCUCAGAAACAAAAUAGGUUCUGGACAUGAGUUCUUAUGGGAAAUGAGCAUAUAAGGACCCAACUCGGGAGACAGAAAGCUCUAAGGGCAACAUUGGUAAUGUUAUAAGGCAAAGUUCAGUUAAGGAGGAAAGUGUGUGUUGGCAGAGGGCAGAGGCAUGGGACAGCAGAGUGAGGGAUUCUGGAAUUCUGCAAGGGAGAGUCAAGCUGUUGCUAAGAGACAGUUGGGCCUUGUGCUGGCUCUAUCUCUCUGGUUUACCUGGAGGGGACUGACUGCCUUCCCUUGUUGGCUGUUGGCUGUCUGGUUUUCUCCAUCCUACCUGCUUCUCUGCAGAGCUUCCUGCUGUGGAGUUCCAGGAAAGCCAUUUAACACAUACUUUCCAGCCCUUGCCACUCUUCUUGGAGCCAAUUCUAAAUGGAAGGAGACUCUCCAUCUUCAUGCCACAGGGAGGAGCAGAGAUAACUGCAGCUAAGUCAGAAGGAGAAGCCUCAGGACUAAGAUGUGUGAUUUGAGAGACAUCAGAAAGCUUCUGGCUUUUGGUUCUAAAAUCUCUUCCAGACCUCAAAUCUUCCAAUUUUAUGUUUGACCCUCCCGCCUGCUCCCAUUCCAUACCAUGGGAGCCAUCAAAUUUUAGGCUUUCAGACCCAAGGAUGUAAGAAAUAGUUUGCCCAAGUACAGUUAAUGAGGAGAACAACUGUGUAAUCUCAUCUUCCAGGUUAACCAUAAUUUCUCUCUACAGACUUUUUUUUAACCCCUUGUCUUUGAAUCAUUACUGUGUAUUGGUUCUUUAAAAAUUAAAUUUAUACCUCUA